GUCUACAGCCAUGCCACCCUGAACAAGCCUGAUCAGGUCUGACCUCGAAAGCUAAGCAAGGUCGGGCCUGGUUAGUACUUGGAUGGGAGGCCACUUAGGAAGACCAGGUGCUGUAGGCA
Molecule: ribosomal RNA, 119 nt
Filed under: Pteropus alecto (black flying fox)
Lineage: Eukaryota; Metazoa; Chordata; Mammalia; Chiroptera; Pteropodidae
Source: RNAcentral